CCUUAUGAGCCUCCUUUCCUGCAGCUGUCACUUGUGCAUUAAUGGUCCACCACAAAGACUAUCUAAAAGAAGAUGUAGUUGAUCUAAUGAGCAGGUAGAAACGAAACCUUGAGACAGCAAGUUUGUUGCAAACAAGACUCAUGGACAGGUGUUUUAUCAUAAAAUAGUUGAUACCUUUUUAAUUUGUACAAAUGUAUCCCAAAGCCUUGGUGGGCCCCGACUUGUAUUAUGGGAGGCAGAACACUCUUGAUGUUUGUGGUCGAGCAAUGUUAGAGAGUUUCCAUUGAGGUCUUUAAAGAGACCUGUGAGUGAGAAGAUAAAAACCAUUACACCAUUGCAGAUACGGAUAUCUACAAGGUUUAGUUUAAUCUUUCUACUUUUUCUACAAAAUGAUUGGACUGUUCAUUUGUGGAGGAUGAUCUCUGACCUUGAGAUCAAUUCAAGGAAGGGUGAAUGUUAACCCCGAUGUCAACAUUGAAGAACUUGCUCGUUCUACAGAUGAUUGUAAUGGAGCACAACUGAAGGCUAUAUGUGUUGAGGCUGGCUUGUUGGCUCUGGGCUGUGAUGCAAUUGAGGUAGGACCAGAUGCAUACUAUGGAACCAACAUCAUGUAACGAUGUUGUUGUCGAGACAUAAUACAGAAUCUUUUUUGCUCUUACAGUGAGAAGACUUCAUCUCCUUCCACAAAGGUCAACAAUGGCAUUGCUGCCUCAGAGAAACCAUGCUGCCAGCCAAAAAUCCCAACAAAUAGAGGAAUAUGUUUAUUUUCGGUAUUAAUUAUGUUCAUGUUGUAAAAUAAUUACAACAACACCAUCUUUUUAUUGCCACAGCUCCUUGUAUGUUGUUCUCCUUGUUGGCACUUAGAAGGCUAAUGCAGUGCAUCCAAUGGUUACUGUUGAGGGCUUUGUUCUUGGGUUGCUCAAAAAGACUGUCUUGUCCUUGCUGCAACAGGAUCUGGUUUUGUUCUUUAAGUAUUCAAUAAUUUUGCCUUAGGACAUGUUUGGAUAAUUUUUUCUUGAAACACUUUUAAAAGAGAAAAAUAGGAAAUAAAAAUGAAAUAAACUUUCCCAUAAACUAAAACUGACUCAUGCAUGAAAGAAAAGAAGAUUUUGAAAAAGCUAAUAAGAAAGAACUUCUACAAUAUGGCUUAUGCAUAAGUUAAUUUUAGUUUAUUUCAUAUUUACUUCUUAACUUGCUACACUUAAAGUACUGCCAGAGAAGUUAUACCAAGAGACCGUUACUUACCAUGUAGCGUAGCUUUUGUGCAUUUGUUUUUAAUUAUACUUUUGGCACAGGGAAGUCUCUAUGCUUUCAGAUUCCUGCAUUGUUGUCUUGGAAAGUGGUGGUUGUGAUUUUGCCCUUGAUAAGCUUCAUGCAUGACCAGUGUUUAAAACUAACAAAACAUGGAAUCAAUGCAUGCUUUCUUGGCUCGGGGCAACCUGAUGAUACUGUUGAACGUAAAGUAAUGAGAGGCUUGUAUAGUAUAUAGUUUUGGUGUGCCCAAAGACUGUGUUGAGAUCGAUUCAACCACUGCAGAAGCUUGUUGAAAGUCGUGGUAUUGCUUUUUUCGCAAUUGACGAGGUACAUUGUGUUUCUAAAUGGGGUCAUGAUUUCUGUCUAGACUACAGGUCUGUUUUUUGUCCCUUAUUGUUUGUGGCUUGCUGAGGCUAGCUGGAGUGACGAGUUUACUUGGAGCUUCUUAAAUGAUUGUAAAUGUAAAUUGUGGUUUGCAUAUUGGUGAGAUUUAGAUCAGUUAUUGGUUAUUUUGAUUGGAUAUCAUGCAUAUUUCAUUUGUUCUUUGUUUGGUGCACACAUUACAAUUUAUUUAAUGUUUUUAGUCUACUAUGAAUGUCAUAAGUAUGACCUAUUUUAAAAUUGUUUUUUUUUUUG
Cajanus cajan (pigeon pea) is the source of this 1890-nucleotide non-coding RNA. The record is from RefSeq and is a predicted model, not a curated record. NCBI's taxonomy places the organism in Eukaryota, Viridiplantae, Streptophyta, Magnoliopsida, Fabales, Fabaceae.